Molecule: ribosomal RNA, 497 nt
Filed under: uncultured bacterium
Lineage: Bacteria
Description: partial 16S ribosomal RNA
Rfam family: Bacterial small subunit ribosomal RNA
Source: RNAcentral
GAUGAACGCUGGCGGCGCGCCUAAUACAUGCAAGUCGAGCGAACAGACGAGGAGCUUGCUCCUCUGACGUUAGCGGCGGACGGGUGAGUAACACGUGGAUAACCUACCUAUAAGAUUGGGAUAACUUCGGGAAACCGGAGCUAAUACCGGAUAAUAUAUUGAACCGCAUGGUUCAAUAGUGAAAGACGGUUUUGCUGUCACUUAUAGAUGGAUCCGCGCCGCAUUAGCUAGUUGGUAAGGUAACGGCUUACCAAGGCAACGAUGCGUAGCCGACCUGAGAGGGUGAUCGGCCACACUGGAACUGAGACACGGUCCAGACUCCUACGGGAGGCAGCAGUAGGGAAUCUUCCGCAAUGGGCGAAAGCCUGACGGAGCAACGCCGCGUGAGUGAUGAAGGUCUUCGGAUCGUAAAACUCUGUUAUUAGGGAAGAACAAAUGUGUAAGUAACUAUGCACGUCUUGACGGUACCUAAUCAGAAAGCCACGGCUAACUACGUG